This 253-nucleotide ribosomal RNA is filed under the name uncultured bacterium. RNAcentral describes it as "partial 16S ribosomal RNA". It matches the Rfam family "Bacterial small subunit ribosomal RNA", at positions 524 to 776 of the family's 1533-position model. The record is from RNAcentral.
UACGGGGGGAGCAAGCGUUGUUCGGAUUUACUGGGCGUAAAGGGCGCGUAGGCGGCGCAACAAGUCACUUGUGAAAUCUCCGGGCUUAACCCGGAGCGGUCAAGUGAUACUGUCGUGCUAGAGUGCGGAAGGGGCUACUGGAAUUCUCGGUGUAGCGGUGAAAUGCGUAGAUAUCGAGAGGAACACCUGCGGCGAAGGCGGGUAGCUGGGCCGACACUGACGCUGAUGCGUGAAAGCCAGGGGAGCGAACGGG